Homo sapiens (human) is the source of this 721-nucleotide long non-coding RNA. RefSeq annotates it as BCL2L1 antisense RNA 1. The transcript has 5 exons. NCBI's taxonomy places the organism in Eukaryota, Metazoa, Chordata, Mammalia, Primates, Hominidae. The record is from RefSeq and is marked validated.
AGUGAGGAACAAGCAUGCCUGUGCCAGACGAACCCUUCCUUCCUCUUGGGUGACUCUGGAGGGCCCAGGCCCAUUGCUUCCUUCCUGCUUGGUUAUUUCAGGAAAGAGAUCAGUGCUGGAUGCUGUGGGGAAGAGAGUACUGGGCUGACAGUCAGUGGAUGUGGAUUUUGUUUCCCAGUUCCAUCGCUGAUUUGCAGUCAAUACCCAGAGCACCACCACCAGGAGGCCUGGAAGCAACUCACUGUCCCACUUGAUGUGGCCUGUGGACCACCAGAAAUUUCAGAGCGUCACAGAGAUGUGUGGUUCGAUCCUGAGCAGACAUGGAUGGUCACAAAGGUGAAUUCACUUGCUCAAGAUCCAACACACACAAAAUGGAGGUGGUUCAAACCCAGGUGUGUCUGACUGCAGAGCCUGUGUUCUUCCCAGUAGAGAUGUGGAUGCAGCACAAAUGGUAGAAAGGACCUGAGACUUAGUCAGAAGACCUCAGUUCACCCAAGGUAUCUGCUAUGCCCAAGGCCUCUGCUCAGUGCUGAGGAAACAAGCAUGGACAAGAUGUGGCCUCCACCCUGAGGAGCUCCUAAAUCUAGGACAGAGUAAAUCUGUUAGAAAUGUCUUCUCUGCACAUAAUUUAAGCUCUACCAACUGUUAACUUCUUUUCAUUUAUCCAAGUUUUGCCAGGUACCACACCAAUAAAAAAAGACUCAGUCCCUCUUCCUUCAGA